Molecule: ribosomal RNA, 397 nt
Filed under: Streptococcus mitis
Lineage: Bacteria; Bacillati; Bacillota; Bacilli; Lactobacillales; Streptococcaceae
Description: bacterial SSU rRNA
Rfam family: Bacterial small subunit ribosomal RNA
Source: RNAcentral
GACGAACGCUGGCGGCGCGCCUAAUACAUGCAAGUAGAACGCUGAAGGAGGAGCUUGCUUCUCUGGAUGAGUUGCGAACGGGUGAGUAACGCGUAGGUAACCUGCCUGGUAGCGGGGGAUAACUAUUGGAAACGAUAGCUAAUACCGCAUAAGAGUAGAUGUUGCAUGACAUUUGCUUAAAAGGUGCAAUUGCAUCACUACCAGAUGGACCUGCGUUGUAUUAGCUAGUUGGUGAGGUAACGGCUCACCAAGGCAACGAUACAUAGCCGACCUGAGAGGGUGAUCGGCCACACUGGGACUGAGACACGGCCCAGACUCCUACGGGAGGCAGCAGUAGGGAAUCUUCGGCAAUGGACGGAAGUCUGACCGAGCAACGCCGCGUGAGUGAAGAAGGUUU